UUCCACAGCCAUAUCACCCUGCAGCCCAAGACCGGUUACUCACUAAAGCUAAGCAGGGCUGAGCCUGGUUAGUACCUGGAUGGGAGACCACUAGGGAACACUAGGUUGCUGUUGGAA
Molecule: ribosomal RNA, 117 nt
Filed under: Danio rerio (zebrafish)
Lineage: Eukaryota; Metazoa; Chordata; Actinopteri; Cypriniformes; Danionidae
Source: RNAcentral